Molecule: ribosomal RNA, 1305 nt
Filed under: Triticum aestivum (bread wheat)
Lineage: Eukaryota; Viridiplantae; Streptophyta; Magnoliopsida; Poales; Poaceae
Description: partial small subunit ribosomal RNA
Source: RNAcentral
AUGGCAGCAGCAAGAUCGUGCACAAACCCCUGCUGGUCGGACCUCCCGACCGAUCUCCUCGCGAGCAUCGUGCAACUCCUCCAGCUCCCGGGAGCGCUCGCCUUCGCGUCCGUCUGCACGUCGUGGCGCGCGGCCGCCGGCGACAUCCCGCAUCCGCGCACGCCAUGGCUCUUGUCCUGGGAAGAAAACCCACACCCGGCCGUCGGGCGGAGCCGCUCCGCCGUGACCUGCAAGUUUCGCAACCUCCUCGACGCCGACAGGGUUCACAGUCUCACGUUCCCCGAGGCCUCCUUCGUCACCUGCUGCGGCGCCUCCAACGGGUGGCUGGUGGUGGUGGACGAGCUCUGCAACCUCUCGCUCCACAACCCCUUCACCUCGCAGACCAUCGCUCUGCCGCCGGUCACCGACUUCCCGUGCGUGACGGCCGUCGUGCACGACGACCAGGGGAAAAUCAAGGCUUACCGUCUCAGCAGGAGCUCGGGCCAGUACAUCGACGCACAGCAGUACGACGCGUACCAUCUGGCCACGUUUUUCUACCGGAAGGCGGAGCUGUCCGGCGACCCGUCCGGGGGCGGCGACUACGCCGUCACGGUCGUCCACUUCGGCGGCAGGUGGAUCUCCCGCGUCAGGGCGGGGGACACCAGGUGGCGGGUGCUGGUCGCCAACAGAUUCAUCUGGGGCCACGGCCACCCGGACGCCUACGCCGACUGCGCGUACCACAAGAGGAGCGUGUACGCCGUGACGUACCAGGGGAUCGUCGAGCGGUGGCCCCUCGACGACGCCGGCGCCGGGACACCAUCGGAGAAGCAGGAGGAGGUUGUGCAAGACCGUCGGCUGCGCGACGCCGUCCUCAGCAGGCACCUCGUGGUCUCGCCGGGCGGCGGCGGGCUGUGGAUGGUGAGCGCGGUGUGGGAGCCCGGGCGCGCGGAGUACCCGGACGCCGUCAGGUUCACGUUCCGCGUGGUCGAUGAGGAUGACGAUGACGCCGGGGGCGAGGGGGAGCGGGAGUCGGUGCAGGCGCACGCGCUGUUCCUCGGGAUGAACCGGCCGGCGUGGCUCCCCACCGGCACUGGGAGCUUCCCCGGCGUGAGGCCCGGUGUGCUCUACUUCUCCGCGCCAUGGAUGCGGCAGUACUCUCCAAAACUGCUCGAGUUGGUGGGCGACUGGGGAGGCGCGAGGGCCUACGGCGUCCUCAGUAGGACGAGGGCGAGGACGUUCGAGCGCGUGUUCCCCGGCUUGCUGCCUGAGUCUGCACGGCUGAUGGACUGCCCUACGGAGGUGUGGGUCACGCCCAAUCUGUACUAG